UUCUAAAAAAAUAUUAAUAAAUAUUAAUUUAUUUAUAGAUCUUAAAUCUAUUACACUAUUCUGUCAUUUUAGA
This 73-nucleotide transfer RNA is filed under the name Mengenilla australiensis. RNAcentral describes it as "tRNA-Leu". Lineage: Eukaryota; Metazoa; Arthropoda; Insecta; Strepsiptera; Mengenillidae. The record is from RNAcentral.